RNAcentral lists this long non-coding RNA (838 nucleotides) under Corvus moneduloides (New Caledonian crow). RNAcentral describes it as "lncRNA (ENSCMUG00000020011.1)". The record is from RNAcentral. Lineage: Eukaryota; Metazoa; Chordata; Aves; Passeriformes; Corvidae.
GCAAGUGUGUCUCAUGAGUGCAGCCCUGCCACUGCUGCUGCUGGAGUGGGCGUCUGCUCACGGGGCUCACCUGCAGCUUCUCUCUUCUCUCUUUCCAGGAACUGCUGGACUACAUUGACAGAGUGGCUGUGCAAGAGAGGGUCAUGGGCAGGAUCAGGCUGCUGAGCCAUUUGCUGGCCGACUCUUCCACUGUGCAGGUAAGGACCGGCCACCCUCCUGCCAGGCCAUCUCCCCAUCCCUGUGCCCUGGAAUAGCCACAGCUCCAAGGUGCCUGCAAGGCCUCAGCUGCCCACCCUCAGACCUUCUGCUCUUCUGCCUGCCUCCCCCAGGCUGGUCAAAAUGAGGGCAGCGGUGCUGCCAGCACAGAGAUCCAGAUACCAGUCCUUGGGAAGCUGCUGGGACAUCUCCUAUUCAAGUCACUCAGGACAGAAAAGACAAGCUCUAUGGCUCUGGAUUGUCUCUGCUCUCUCUUCACAUUCACCGGUCAUCAGAAAGGUGCCACACCACCAGUGGUUCGUGCCCAGCUCCCAGCAUAUUGGGAAUCUGAGAUCACCUCCUUGCUGCGUAAGCCCAGCGCCCGGAGAGUUCAGGUGACCAGCCCUCCCCCUUGCUGGGCCUCUCAUCCGUGGCAUCAGCAGGGGAUUGGUGUGCACAAAGGGGCGCAGAAUCAGCGGGGCUGUCCCUGGCGAGAGGCUUCCCGCUGUCCCCGAGCAGGGAACACUGCGGUGUCCCAGCAGCAGCAGCAGCAGCAGCUCCAGCCCUGCUGGCCACCAGCGAGCCCUGGCUCUCUGUAGGGCCCGUGCCCCAUGCCUGAGAGCCCAGCCCUCCUCCUUGUCAC